Molecule: ribosomal RNA, 435 nt
Filed under: uncultured bacterium
Lineage: Bacteria
Description: partial 16S ribosomal RNA
Rfam family: Bacterial small subunit ribosomal RNA
Source: RNAcentral
AGCGAACGCUGGCGGCAGGCUUAACACAUGCAAGUCGAGCGGGCACUUUCGGGUGUCAGCGGCGGACGGGUGAGUAACGCGUGGGAACGUGCCCUCUGGUUCGGAAUAACUCAGGGAAACUUGAGCUAAUACCGGAUACGCCCUUUUGGGGAAAGGCUUGCUGCCGGAGGAUCGGCCCGCGUCUGGUUAGCUAGUUGGUGAGGUAACGGCUCACCAAGGCGACGAUCAGUAGCUGGUCUGAGAGGAUGAUCAGCCACACUGGGACUGAGACACGGCCCAGACUCCUACGGGAGGCAGCAGUGGGGAAUAUUGGACAAUGGGCGCAAGCCUGAUCCAGCCAUGCCGCGUGAGUGAUCAAGGCCUUAGGGUUGUAAAGCUCUUUUAUCCGGGACGAUAAUGACGGUACCGGAGGAAUAAGCCCCGGCUAACUUCGUG